Molecule: ribosomal RNA, 1287 nt
Filed under: metagenome
Description: bacterial SSU rRNA
Rfam family: Bacterial small subunit ribosomal RNA
Source: RNAcentral
UAGCUAGUUGGUGAGGUAAAGGCUUACCAAGGCGACGAUCUGUAGCGGGUCUGAGAGGAUGAUCCGCCACACUGGAACUGAGACACGGUCCAGACUCCUACGGGAGGCAGCAGUGGGGAAUUUUGAACAAUGGGGGCAACCCUGAUCCAGCCAUGCCGCGUGAGUGAAGAAGGCCUUCGGGUUGUAAAGCUCUUUCGGCCGGGAAGAAAUCGCAUGGGCCAAUACCCUGUGUGGAUGACGGUACCGGAAUAAGAAGCACCGGCUAACUACGUGCCAGCAGCCGCGGUAAUACGUAGGGUGCGAGCGUUAAUCGGAAUUACUGGGCGUAAAGCGUGCGCAGGCGGUUUUGUAAGACAGGCGUGAAAUCCCCGGGCUUAACCUGGGAACUGCGUUUGUGACUGCAAGGCUAGAGUACGGCAGAGGGGGGUGGAAUUCCACGUGUAGCAGUGAAAUGCGUAGAGAUGUGGAGGAACACCAAUGGCGAAGGCAGCCCCCUGGGUCGAUACUGACGCUCAUGCACGAAAGCGUGGGUAGCAAACAGGAUUAGAUACCCUGGUAGUCCACGCCCUAAACUAUGUCAACUAGGUGUUGGGUGGGUAAAACCAUUUAGUACCGUAGCUAACGCGUGAAGUUGACCGCCUGGGGAGUACGGCCGCAAGGUUAAAACUCAAAGGAAUUGACGGGGACCCGCACAAGCGGUGGAUGAUGUGGAUUAAUUCGAUGCAACGCGAAAAACCUUACCUACCCUUGACAUGCCAGGAACUUGCCAGAGAUGGCUUGGUGCCCGAAAGGGAGCCUGGACACAGGUGCUGCAUGGCUGUCGUCAGCUCGUGUCGUGAGAUGUUGGGUUAAGUCCCGCAACGAGCGCAACCCUUGUCGUUAAUUGCCAUCAUUUAGUUGGGCACUUUAACGAGACUGCCGGUGACAAACCGGAGGAAGGUGGGGAUGACGUCAAGUCCUCAUGGCCCUUAUGGGUAGGGCUUCACACGUCAUACAAUGGUCGGUACAAAGGGUUGCCAAGCCGCGAGGCGGAGCCAAUCCCAGAAAGCCGAUCGUAGUCCGGAUUGCAGGCUGCAACUCGCCUGCAUGAAGUCGGAAUCGCUAGUAAUCGUGGAUCAGCAUGUCACGGUGAAUACGUUCCCGGGUCUUGUACACACCGCCCGUCACACCAUGGGAGCGGGUUCCGCCAGAAGUAGGUAGCCUAACCGCAAGGGGGGCGCUUACCACGGCGGGGUUCGUGACUGGGGUGAAGUCGUAACAAGGUAGCCGUAGGGGAACCUGCGGCUG